Molecule: small RNA, 704 nt
Filed under: Pongo abelii (Sumatran orangutan)
Lineage: Eukaryota; Metazoa; Chordata; Mammalia; Primates; Hominidae
Description: retained intron
Source: RNAcentral
AGAGGCUGCGGCUGCUGCGGAUGGAGGGACCGCUGAUGGUGGCUUUGCAUUCUCCUGGGCAGAUCUGUAUCUUCGUCGGGGAGACGCUGCUGUUUUCUAACUGGGCCAUCACUGCAGACAUCCUCAUGUACGUGGUCAUCCCCACCCGGCGGGCCACUGCCGUGGCCUUGCAGAGCUUCACCUCCCACCUGCUGGGGGAUGCCGGGAGCCCCUACCUCAUUGGCUUUAUCUCAGACCUGAUCCGCCAGAGCACCAAGGACUCCCCGCUCUGGGAGUUCCUGAGCCUGGGCUACGCGCUCAUGCUCUGCCCUUUUGUCGUGGUCCUGGGUGGCAUGUUCUUCCUUGCCACUGCUCUCUUCUUCCUCAGCGACCGCGCCAAGGCUGAGCAGCAGGUGAACCAGCUGGCGAUGCCGCCCGCAUCUGUGAAAGUCUGAGGUGGUGCCAUUGGGACAAUGAAGAACCCACACUCCCACUUAGUCUGGGAGGUGUCCUACAGCAUCAGGGACCGGCUGGGCUGCCCCAAAGCUUUCUGUGUGAUCCACGGCUAGGCAACCACCCUCUCUGGCCCAGGCCUGCUGAGUGGCCCUGGCAUCAAGAAGAGGCUGUGUCCUCAGUUGCCCUGGAAGGAUGUGUGUGUUGGAGCCACACAGUUGGACAGAUUCCCAGCCCUAGGUUUGGGCUGCAGGGCCCCUGGGGCCAAGCAA